Molecule: ribosomal RNA, 405 nt
Filed under: Klebsiella pneumoniae
Lineage: Bacteria; Pseudomonadati; Pseudomonadota; Gammaproteobacteria; Enterobacterales; Enterobacteriaceae
Also listed under: 2 other names
Description: bacterial SSU rRNA
Rfam family: Bacterial small subunit ribosomal RNA
Source: RNAcentral
AAAUUGAAGAGUUUGAUCAUGGCUCAGAUUGAACGCUGGCGGCAGGCCUAACACAUGCAAGUCGAGCGGUAGCACAGAGAGCUUGCUCUCGGGUGACGAGCGGCGGACGGGUGAGUAAUGUCUGGGAAACUGCCUGAUGGAGGGGGAUAACUACUGGAAACGGUAGCUAAUACCGCAUAAUGUCGCAAGACCAAAGUGGGGGACCUUCGGGCCUCAUGCCAUCAGAUGUGCCCAGAUGGGAUUAGCUAGUAGGUGGGGUAACGGCUCACCUAGGCGACGAUCCCUAGCUGGUCUGAGAGGAUGACCAGCCACACUGGAACUGAGACACGGUCCAGACUCCUACGGGAGGCAGCAGUGGGGAAUAUUGCACAAUGGGCGCAAGCCUGAUGCAGCCAUGCCGCGUGU